RNA transcript from Helianthus annuus (common sunflower), 4098 nucleotides. RefSeq lists it as uncharacterized. The transcript has 14 exons. Lineage: Eukaryota; Viridiplantae; Streptophyta; Magnoliopsida; Asterales; Asteraceae. The record is from RefSeq and is a predicted model, not a curated record.
CAAAAAAACCCUAAUCAUUCUAAUCCCUCAUUUUCACACCGUCGUCCCAAACUGAGUACACCAUACAUUCAGAGCCCUAAAAACUAAAGCCGACACGGAUCAUCAUCCAACCAUUCCCGAUCUUCAAUUUCUCCAAGAUACAAACGCUAGCUUCCGUUUGAUUUCCAAAUCGCCUCUUUCACGUCUUCCUGUUCUUUCUGAUUCAUCUUCUACAAUGGAGUUCGAAUCCAUCUAAACGUAAUCAUCCAAUUUUCUAGAUCAUAUUUUUGUUGUUUUGGCUUCAAUUAAUCAAGUCAAUGAAGUCGAUGAAAUGAAACGAAGAGUGGAUUUAGGCGAGCAAUUCAGUUAUUCGAGGAGGAAACGAAGAGGAUUCUUGAAACAUAUUCUUACCACAUAUGUGUUGCCUAAUCUUGAGAUCUAAGGAUUGAAUAUCCAAUUUGGAAUUUGAUGAAUAAGGAUAAGGUGGAAUUAGUGGUCUCGUGCUUAGCUUCUUCUGAGGUUUAUCAUCGUGAACUCAUGGCUUACAAGAACCAAUCAUGAUGGUGAAAGCUAACGGCUUCUUCGUUUCUAUGUUAACGUCGGUUGUAAAUGGGCUGGUAGUUUGUAAUCAAGUCAUAAACAUGAUGUAUGCUUGUGAUUUAGGGCGAUUGUAUCUCCUUUGGCAUUACUGUUGAAGAUGAUUGCACCUUCGUUUUGACAACUCAGGCAUCUACUAAGGGAAUUGUGACAUUCGACUCGACCAUCCAUUUUUAUAAUCUGAAACGUGCAUUCCAGCAGCCUUUGAUGCUCAUAGUUCCCGACGUACAAGAUGUUUACACUCCACUUCAAACCGAUUUUAUUGUUCAGAUUUCCGAGGGUUUGUCAUACAACUUCUUGGAAACAUAUAUAUACUUUUACUUUACUCCAUAAUACUCUCACAUCGAUUUGUAUUAGUUUCCUUCACAAGUUUACAACUUAAUCGUGGUGAUCCAUGGAGUGUGCAUAGAAUAUGAACCGCAUUAAAGACGACCGUAGAUGUGGAUGUGUAGUGUUUUGUGUCCACAACUUAUGAUGGUUUUGGUGGCGUUGAUUGCUGGUGAUUGCAGCGGCAGAGAUGGUUGGUGUGGUUGCGGCGGAGAACAGAUGGGCUGGUAGUUUGUAAUCAAGUCAUAAACAUGAUGUAUGCUUGUGAUUUAGGGCGAUUGUAUCUCCUUUGACAUUACUGUUGAAGAUGAUUGCACCGUUGUUUUGACAACUCAGGCAUCUACUAAGGGAAUUGUGGCUACGGUGGUGGCGGAUUAGUGAUGGUUUGACAGUGGCUGCGGUGGUAGCGAUGGCUGUGGUGGUGGCAAUGUGGUUGACGGUGGUUGCGGUGGUGGCGAUGGUUGACGGUGGUGGUGUUGGUUGACGGUGGUGGUGUUGGUUGACGGUGGUGGCGUUGGUUGACGGUAGCUAAGGUGGUGGCUUCGGCUGAUGAUGGUUGUCGUAGAGUAGAUGGUUGGUGCUGGGUACGUUGUUGGGGAUGGUUCGGGUGGUGACGAGUGUGGGCAGUCAUAAGCAAUUGGGGUAACACAUGAAAGAAAAAGAUGAACGACAAGCUGUACCACCAAUACAGGCUGACAGAUGGCAAUCGAAGUUGGGUUCAGUGGCUCUACGAUUCGGGAUAAUUGGUAACUUGUGUCUAGCAUUUUUGUUCUUCCCAGUGACUCGAGGAUCGGUUAUAUUGUCACUGUUCGGGCUAACUUCUAAGGCCUGCAUCAAGUAUCACAUAUGGCUAGGCCAUAUUGUUAUGACCCUCUUCACUUCUCAUGGUGUUUGUUACAUUAUUUAUUGGAUAGUCACCAAGCAGACAUCAGAGGUUGUAAAUGGGCUGGUAGUUUGUAAUCAAGUCAUAAACAUGAUGUAUGCUUGUGAUUUAGGGCGAUUGUAUCUCCUUUGACAUUACUGUUGAAGAUGAUUGCAUUGCUGUUUUGACAACUCAGGCAUCUACUAAGGGAAUUGUGACAUUCGACUCGACCAUCCAUUUUUAUAAUCUGAACCGUGCAUUAGAGCAGCCUCUGAUGCUCAUAGUUCCCGACGUACAAGAUGUUUGCAGUCCACUUCAAAUCGAUUUUAUUGUUCAGCUUUCCGAGGGUUUGUCAUACAACUUCUUGGAAACAUAUAUAUACUUUUACUUUUACUGCAUAAUACUCUCACAUCGAUUUGUAUUUGUUUCCUUCACAAGUUUACAACUUAAUCGUGGUGAUCCAUGGAGUGUGCACAAAAUAUGAACCGCACUAAAGACGACCGUAGAUGUGGAUGUGUAGUGUUUUGUGUCCACAACUUAUGAUGGUUUCGGUGGUGUUGAUUGCUGGUGAUUGCGGCGGCAGAGAUGGUUGGUGUGGUUGUGGCGGAGAUGGUUGAUGGUGGCUACGGUGGUGGCGGAUUAGCGAUGGUUUGACGGUGGCUGCGGUGGUAGUGAUAGCUGUGGUGGUGGCGAUGUGGUUGACGGUGGCUGCGGUGGUGGCGAUGGUUGACGGUGGUGGCGUUGGUUGACGGUGGCUGUGGUGGUGGCAUUAGUUGACGGUGGUGGCGUUGGUUGACGGUAGCUAAGGUGGUGGCUUCGGUUGAUGGUGGUUGUCGCAGAGUCGAUGGUUGGUGCUGGGUACGUUGUUGGGGAUGGUUCGGGUGGUGACGAGUGUGGGCAGUCAUAAGCAAUUGGGGUAACACAUGAAAGGUCUUUCCCAAUCUGUGUGACGUAUUUCUCAGCCCAAGUCAGAUUCAGUCUCUUCACUUAAGCACACUACAAAUAAAACCAACACUCCCACAAUAGGCUAAUGGAUAUUAAAGAAUGAUGUGGCUCUUUUUAAUCAAACCCAAUAACUAAUGCUAUAGUUUUUUCUUGAAAACAUGUAGCAAAAGAUGAACAACAAGCUGUACCACUAAUACAGGUACGCGUUAUACAUAAAUGGAAUCUAGCUUUUAGAGACGCCGAGACAUGCUACGUGUUGGUCGACUGAUAUAUAACCUUAUUUGCCCCAAAUAUUUACACUGCAUUCAUUAUAUAAUUACAUCCACCAAAUUAGAAACAUAAGUGUAUGAAAACACAAAUUAAUUGGGAAGUUACUCAUGAUUUAAUGGUAAGGAAUGAUCAUUUUGGUGGAUGGGAAAAAGGUCAAAGCUGCAUCAAUUACUUUUGAGGUCCAUUAAAAUAGAACUGAUGGUUAAAUUAUAAAUCACGAAAAUAAUCCUUAACAGUUCUAAACUUUUUGACAAAACAAGAUUAUUCUUAAGACACCUUUGUUUAUUAGUAAUAUGUUUAGUAUAAAGGAUGUUUAGUUCUUAGUAUUAUUUUAAUUUUUUUAAGUGUUUCUUUUUAUGCUUUAGUUGUCGAGAUUUGACCGCAAUAUGGUCGGCUUGGUGCCUGUGUACUCUGAUGUACUUGCCACCAUGCCACCCGAAAUCACACAUUCGCCACCUUUCGCACCAUGGUACUUGGAUUUGGGAGACUGUAACUGCGUUUGUGAUUAAAAAGUUUUUUGUUUUGGUUCGGCGAGCGAUAAAUGUCAUCUCCUUUGAGUUGAGACCAAGAACAAAGUACACGUCAUGCUGCUAAUAAGCAUGGAGAGCGAAGUUUUGCUUCCCUAAUUAACCACAUCAACCACAAUUGACUUUAAAAAUAUGUUUUCUAACUCUGAAUUUUCUCAAGUAGUUGUGCUUAUAACUAUGUUCUCGAUGAAAGACAAUUAUGAUCAUCUUAUAUUUUUAAUCUUAUAGCUCGAGCUGGCCAAUGUUUUCCCUUUGCAAAACAUGUUAGUUCACCGCCGCAAUGCGCGGGUGGAGACAAGAGCAAUCCUUGCAAUCAGCAUCACUGAAACAUGGGUCCAGGUGGAGACAAAAGCAAUCCUAAUUGCAACAAGUGUCUCUUCAGGACAAGAAUGAUGAAUGCCGAAAGUUUUUUAGUCGUUUGCAAGGAUCUUUGACAUUUUGGGAAGGCCGCUUCCCUAUUGAUGCAAAGAUCUUUCGUUUCAAAUUUUAUGUCUAACACUGUUAAAUAUUAUACAAUUUACUUUGAAUGUUAUUGUUUGAUCUUUAUAUGUUUUUUAUAUACAUAUGAAUAAAUUUAUCCUUUUUAACCAA